AUUGAACGCUGGCGGCAGGCCUAACACAUGCAAGUCGAGCGGAUGAAGGGAGCUUGCUCCUGGAUUCAGCGGCGGACGGGUGAGUAAUGCCUAGGAAUCUGCCUGGUAGUGGUGGAUAACGUCCUGAAACGGGCGCUAAUACCGCAUACGUCCUGAGGGAGAAAGUGGGGGAUCUUCGGACCUUACGCUAUCAGAUGAGCCUAGGUCGGAUUAGCUAGUUGGUGGGGUAAAGGCCUACCAAGGCGACGAUCCGUAACUGGUCUGAGAGGAUGAUCAGUCACACUGGAACUGAGACACGGUCCAGACUCCUACGGGAGGCAGCAGUGGGGAAUAUUGGACAAUGGGCGAAAGCCUGAUCCAGCCAUGCCGCGUGUGUGAAGAAGGUCUUCGGAUUGUAAAGCACUUUAAGUUGGGAGGAAGGGCAGUAAGUUAAUACCUCGCUGUUUUGACGUUACCAACAGAAUAAGCACCGGCUAACUUCGUG
This 484-nucleotide ribosomal RNA is filed under the name uncultured bacterium. RNAcentral's name for it is "partial 16S ribosomal RNA". It matches the Rfam family "Bacterial small subunit ribosomal RNA", at positions 30 to 507 of the family's 1533-position model. The record is from RNAcentral.